CAUAAAGAAUUUUUCUACUUUAUAAAUAAAUCUGGCAAGACUUAUCCUCUUUCUCCCUUCUCUUCUUAGGUUGAGUAACUAGAGCAAACUUUAAAGAAAAAGGACAGCAUAUGGUGAAUGGACCCAGGAUAGCUUCAGACCAUGUGGGAAUUCGAUUGGAGGAGGUAAGAAUCAAGUGAGUCAAAGUGAUGAAAGAUACCAAAAUGAUCCUUCAGUGCCAAGGACCAGCGUCAACCUAAGGAAUAUGUGAUGCAGAAGAUACUACAUUUCUUGCGUUCUCAAUUGGGUUGAAAGACUAGGGGAAAAACACCCAACAUUUCUGACCAGUUUUCCUUCAUAUGGAACCCCUUGGGAGCUCUUCAUCAAGGUUACAAGGCAUGUGAAUCUGACCCUUUCCUAUAACAUUUGCAAACGGCUCUGCACAAACAAGAAGACAUUGUUUCUCUCCCUUCUUCAAAUUGCCCACGGGUUUUUUGGUGAUGAAUAGAACUUUUUUCCUGAACCCGGCCAGACUUAACCAUGUCCACUUCUUCCUCCUUUCCUUCUCCUGCCUCCCCACUCCUACUCUCAUCAAAAUAUUCAUUUGAAGACUUGUCAAAUGAAUGGGCCAGGUACUGAUUUAUGGUGUGUGAAAGAUGGACCAUAGGAUCAUAGGGUGAUAAAUUUAGAGUUGUGUGGAACCUUAGAAGUCAUCAAGUCCCACCCACUGUUUUUACAGAUGAGGAAACUGAGAUUCAGAGUUAUUACAUUGAUUUGCUCAAGAUCACUCAGCUGGUAAGUACCCAAAGCAGGAUUAGGCUAGACUAGUGAAAUGGAUGUUCUCAAAAUGCCAGAUUUAGGGCUGGAGAGGAC
This 852-nucleotide long non-coding RNA is filed under the name Phascolarctos cinereus (koala). Its description in RNAcentral is "lncRNA (ENSPCIG00000001296.2)". The record is from RNAcentral. Lineage: Eukaryota; Metazoa; Chordata; Mammalia; Diprotodontia; Phascolarctidae.